AAUGAACGCUGGCGGCAGGCCUAACACAUGCAAGUCGAACGAAGCUUUCGGGCUUAGUGGCGGACGGGUGAGUAACGCGUGGGAACAUACCCAAAGGUACGGAAUAGCCUCGGGAAACUGGGAGUAAUACCGUAUGUGCCCUUUAGUUGUAGUGACUAGGGGGGAAAGAUUUANCGCCUUUGGAUUGGCCCGCGUUGGAUUAGGUAGUUGGUGGGGUAAUGGCCUACCAAGCCGACGAUCCAUAGCUGGUUUGAGAGGAUGAUCAGCCACACUGGGACUGAGACACGGCCCAGACUCCUACGGGAGGCAGCAGUGGGGAAUCUUAGACAAUGGGCGCAAGCCUGAUCUAGCCAUGCCG
RNAcentral lists this ribosomal RNA (358 nucleotides) under uncultured bacterium. RNAcentral's name for it is "bacterial SSU rRNA". It matches the Rfam family "Bacterial small subunit ribosomal RNA", at positions 29 to 399 of the family's 1533-position model. The record is from RNAcentral.